GUACGGGAGGCAGCAGGUAGGAAUAGUUGGACAAUAGGACGAAAGUCUGACCCAGCCACGCCGCGUGAAGGAUGACUGCCCUAUGGGUUGUAAACUUCUUUUGUAUGGGAAGAAACUCUCGUUCGUGAACGAGACUGACGGUACCAUAAGAAUAAGCAUCGGCUAACUCCGUGCCAGCAGCCGCGGUAAUACGGAGGAUGCAAGCGUUGUCCGGAUUCAUUGGGUUUAAAGGGUGCGUAGGCGGAGAAUUAAGUCAGUGGUGAAAGCUUACAGCUUAACUGUAAAAAUGCCAUUGAAACUGAUUUUCUUGAGUUCGAUUGAGGUAGAUGGAAUGUAUCAUGUAGCGGUGAAAUGCUUAGAUAUGAUACAGAACACCAAUUGCGAAGGCAGUCUACUAAGUCGAUACUGACGCUGAGGCACGAAAGCAUGGG
This 431-nucleotide ribosomal RNA is filed under the name uncultured bacterium. Its description in RNAcentral is "bacterial SSU rRNA". It matches the Rfam family "Bacterial small subunit ribosomal RNA", at positions 339 to 765 of the family's 1533-position model. The record is from RNAcentral.